This 86-nucleotide transfer RNA is filed under the name Candidatus Endomicrobiellum mastotermitis. Its description in RNAcentral is "tRNA-Ser". It matches the Rfam family "tRNA". From Rfam's summary of the family: Transfer RNA (tRNA) molecules are approximately 80 nucleotides in length. The record is from RNAcentral. Lineage: Bacteria; Pseudomonadati; Elusimicrobiota; Endomicrobiia; Endomicrobiales; Endomicrobiaceae.
GGAGAGGUGGCUGAGUGGUCUAAGGCGCUCGCCUGGAAAGCGGGUAUACAUUUCUUGUAUCGUGGGUUCAAAUCCCACUCUCUCCG